AAAUAGAAUUUGAGUACCAUGGAGAAAAGCUAGUUGGAUAAACAAGAUAGGGAUCAUCCGCUCGGCAAUGCUACCUUGGGAAGAGACAAAACACUUUAAUAUAACAAUUUGAACUCAUAUUUUAAAAGCUUUUUUGAUAUAUGAAUAUGAACAAGAUUACUAUGGAAAAGUUGGUGAACAUUGUUUUGACUCAUAGCUCUAAGAUUACUAGCAUGAAUAAGCCAGCUUCAACACCACCUAGACUCUUAAUCAUAAACAGACUUGCACUGACCUCAACAUAAAAAAAAGGAUGAACCUGGUCUGUCUAUUUGUACGCAUUGGCUUAACUCACUC
Molecule: long non-coding RNA, 333 nt
Filed under: Gossypium barbadense (sea-island cotton)
Lineage: Eukaryota; Viridiplantae; Streptophyta; Magnoliopsida; Malvales; Malvaceae
Description: long non-coding RNA (GBAR_LNC020876)
Source: RNAcentral